Molecule: unclassified non-coding RNA, 298 nt
Filed under: plant metagenome
Description: partial contains 5.8S ribosomal RNA, internal transcribed spacer 2, and large subunit ribosomal RNA
Rfam family: 5.8S ribosomal RNA (bases 1-105)
Source: RNAcentral
GAAAUGCGAUAAGUAAUGUGAAUUGCAGAAUUCAGGGAAUCAUCGAAUCUUUGAACGCACAUUGCGCCCCCUGGUAUUCCGGGGGGCAUGCCUGUUCGAGCGUCAUUUCACCACUCAAGCCUCGCUUGGUAUUGGGCAACGCGGUCCGCCGCGUGCCUCAAAUCGACCGGCUGGGUCUUCUGUCCCCUAAGCGUUGUGGAAACUAUUCGCUAAAGGGUGUUCGGGAGGCUACGCCGUAAAACAACCCCAUUUCUAAGGUUGACCUCGGAUCAGGUAGGGAUACCCGCUGAACUUAAGC